GGUAGAAUGGCCGAGAAAAUAGGCGGUAAAUUGUAAAUUUAUUAACGAGUUUAACUCUUCUGUCA
RNAcentral lists this transfer RNA (65 nucleotides) under Protochauliodes humeralis. RNAcentral describes it as "tRNA-Tyr". The record is from RNAcentral. Lineage: Eukaryota; Metazoa; Arthropoda; Insecta; Megaloptera; Corydalidae.